AUUGAACGCUGGCGGCAGGCCUAACACAUGCAAGUCGAGCGAGAGGCGGACGGGUGAGUAAUGUCUGGGAAACUGCCUGAUGGAGGGGGAUAACUACUGGAAACGGUAGCUAAUACCGCAUACCAUCAGAUGUGCCCAGAUGGGAUUAGCUAGUAGGUGGGGUACUGGCUCACCUAGGCGACGAUCCCUAGCUGGUCUGAGAGGAUGACCAGCCACACUGGGACUGAGACACGGUCCAGACUCCUACGGGAGGCAGCAGUGGGGAAUAUUGGACAAUGGGCGAAAGGCUGAUGGAGCCAUGCCGCGUGUAUGAAGAAGGCCUUCGGGUUGUAAAGUACUUUUAGCAGGGAAGCGUUACCCGACGAAGAAGCCCCGGCUAACUCCGUGCCAGCAGCCGCGGUAAUUC
RNAcentral lists this ribosomal RNA (406 nucleotides) under uncultured bacterium. Its description in RNAcentral is "partial 16S ribosomal RNA". It matches the Rfam family "Bacterial small subunit ribosomal RNA", at positions 30 to 526 of the family's 1533-position model. The record is from RNAcentral.